AUUUGGUUGUGGUUUUAAAGCAUCUCCAGCUCCCGUCUUCCGUGUUCCAAUUCUCCAGAGCCCCCCUCUUCUCAUCUCUCUCAAUCUGUCUUCAUUCCCGAAUCGCUGCUUUGAGUCAGAGAUGAACGCUAUUCUUCAAAAUCCACCAUCGUACUACAUGGCCCGACAGGCACUUCAGCAACCGAGUUGGAGCUUAUUAUCAGGAGGCUCCCUUGUUUCAUUCACUAGAGGGCAUAAUUUGGUGGUGCGGCAGACAUCACGGCUUCGAUUACCUUCAACUUCACGCAAUCUAGUUGUGAAGGCAGUUGCUACUCCAAAUUCAGCUCUGGAAUUACCACUGACUGCAGAAAAUGUGGAAAGUGUAUUGGAUGAAGUCCGGCCAUAUCUCAUUUCUGAUGGGGGGAAUGUGGCAUUACAUGAGAUUGAUGGUAAUAUAGUGCGGUUAAAGCUACAAGGAGCAUGUGGGUCGUGUCCAAGCUCUGUCAUGACAAUGAAAAUGGGUAUUGAGCGUCGUUUAAUGGAAAAGAUCCCUGAAAUAGUUGCUGUGGAACCAGUUCCAGAUGAAGAAACAGGCCUUGAGCUGAAUGCAGAAAACAUAGAGAAGGUACUUGAAGAAAUUAGACCCUACUUAGUUGGGGCAGCAGGUGGUUCUCUAGAACUUGUUGCAAUCGAUGAGCCUAUAGUCAAAAUCCGGAUAACAGGCCCUGCUGCUGGAGUGAUGACUGUUAGAGUUGCUGUCACACAGAAAUUGCGUGAAAAAAUCCCUACCAUUGCAGCAGUUCAACUACUGUAAAAUAAGAAUCUCGUUCAACUUUGCAAGCUGGCUACUUGUACAAGCUCAUGUUGUAAUUAGUAGUAUCCACAGUUAAGGUAUCAGGUGCAUAACUUUAUCAAUGCUCAAGGCCUGCAGCCUCUAUACAUGGAAGAAAAACUGGAGAGGCUAUCCAACAGUAAGAAUGGUAAUUAACUUCUCUUAAAUACAUGGAAGAAAAACUGGAGAGGCUAUCCAACAGUAAGAAUGGCCAUGGCGUAUAUGGGUGCUUCAAGAUCGAGCUUUUUGGGAAGUACAUUUGGCUGUUGAAAUCCGUGCUAUCUCUAACAUGCCAAAUUUUCUUAUAAAGCUUGAUCAAUAUGAAAAAGCCAAUGGACUCGGUGUAUCGUAAGUACAAUCCUUCACAAGAAAAUGUCAGCAGUUGAAUUAUUCACUUCUAAUAUACUAUAAGAAGUUACCGUGAGCUUGUUUGGGAACUGAUGCUAGAAGUAGGGAUUUGUUAUACUAGAAAAAGGCAUUUCUAUCUGCUUGGUAUGGAGUGUUCCUGUCUGGUAUAGUUGUAGUUAUUCUUGUGCGAGGUUGGUCUUUUGUUUUUAGCGUGCAAGCAUUUGUAGUUCUUACUCUU
This is an RNA transcript of Argentina anserina (silverweed cinquefoil), 1397 nucleotides long. It is a transcript of the gene named nifU-like protein 2, chloroplastic, with no coding region annotated. The record is from RefSeq and is a predicted model, not a curated record. Lineage: Eukaryota; Viridiplantae; Streptophyta; Magnoliopsida; Rosales; Rosaceae. The transcript is spliced from 7 exons.